Molecule: small nuclear RNA, 32 nt
Filed under: Cervus elaphus hippelaphus
Lineage: Eukaryota; Metazoa; Chordata; Mammalia; Artiodactyla; Cervidae
Source: RNAcentral
GUGCUCGCUUCGGCAGCACACAUACUAAGAUU